UCGGGAAUUUUGGGCAAUGGGCGAAAGCCUGACCCAGCAACGCCGCGUGAAGGAUGAAGUAUUUCGGUAUGUAAACUUCGAAAGAAUAGGAAGAAUAAAUGACGGUACUAUUUAUAAGGUCCGGCUAACUACGUGCCAGCAGCCGCGGUAAUACGUAGGGACCAAGCGUUGUUCGGAUUUACUGGGCGUAAAGGGCGCGUAGGCGGCAAUUCAAGUCAUCUGUGAAAUCUCCGGGCUUAACUCGGAACGGUCAGAUGAUACUGCUUUGCUAGAGUGCAGAAGGGGCAAUCGGAAUUCUUGGUGUAGCGGUGAAAUGCGUAGAUAUCAAGAGGAACACCUGAGGUGAAGACGGGUUGCUGGGCUGACACUGACGCUGAGGCGCGAAAGCCAGGGGAACAAACGGGAUUAGAUACCCGCGU
RNAcentral lists this ribosomal RNA (419 nucleotides) under uncultured bacterium. RNAcentral's name for it is "bacterial SSU rRNA". It matches the Rfam family "Bacterial small subunit ribosomal RNA", at positions 355 to 791 of the family's 1533-position model. The record is from RNAcentral.